RNAcentral lists this ribosomal RNA (486 nucleotides) under uncultured bacterium. RNAcentral's name for it is "bacterial SSU rRNA". It matches the Rfam family "Bacterial small subunit ribosomal RNA", at positions 198 to 668 of the family's 1533-position model. The record is from RNAcentral.
GGAGGAAAGUAGGGGAUCGAAAGACCUUAUGCUUUUGGAGCGGCCGAUGUCUGAUUAGCUAGUUGGUAAGGUAAAGGCUUACCAAGGCAACGAUCAGUAGUUGGUCUGAGAGGACGACCAGCCACACUGGGACUGAGACACGGCCCAGACUCCUACGGGAGGCAGCAGUGGGGAAUUUUGGACAAUGGGCGCAAGCCUGAUCCAGCAAUGCCGCGUGAGUGAAGAAGGCCUUCGGGUUGUAAAGCUCUUUCAGUCGAGAAGAAAAGAUCGUAACUAAUAAUCAUGAUUCAUGACGGUAUCGACAGAAGAAGCACCGGCUAACUACGUGCCAGCAGCCGCGGUAAUACGUAGGGUGCAAGCGUUAAUCGGAAUUACUGGGCGUAAAGGGUGCGCAGGCGGUUCUGCAAGUCAGAUGUGAAAUCCCCGGGCUUAACCUGGGAACUGCGUUUGAAACUACAAAGCUAGAAGGGCUUAUUUCGUUAAACC